This 253-nucleotide ribosomal RNA is filed under the name uncultured bacterium. RNAcentral describes it as "partial 16S ribosomal RNA". It matches the Rfam family "Bacterial small subunit ribosomal RNA", at positions 524 to 776 of the family's 1533-position model. The record is from RNAcentral.
UACAGAGGGUGCAAGCGUUAUUCGGAAUUACUGGGCGUAAAGCGCGCGUAGGCGGCUUUUUAAGUCGGUUGUGAAAUCCCCGGGCUUAACCUGGGAACUGCAGUCGAGACUGUCGAGCUAGAGUAUGGGAGAGGGAAGUGGAAUUUCAGGUGUAGCGGUGAAAUGCGUAGAUAUCUGAAGGAACAUCAGUGGCGAAAGCGACUUCCUGGACCGAUACUGACGCUCAUGUGCGAAGGCGUGGGGAGCAAACAGG